AGGUCCUGUCACAUUCAUUAGAAUUCGGAUUAGGCCCAACUCUACUCCAAAAGCUACCUGAGUGUGCUUCUAAAAUUUCAAUUCAAAUUCAGUGUGUGCUGUAACACCCCACUUUUCGUUAUUAGGUUAUUUAUUAUUUUAUCUUAAUUAUUAUUAUGCUAUAUGGUAUUUUGAUAAUUUAUGCGAUUUAAUUAGAUGAAUAUGUGAUUAUGUGAUUUAAUUAGAUGAUAAGGUCAUUAAGUGAUUUUAUUAGAUAAUUAAGUUAUUAUGUGAUAUAGAUAAAUAAGGGUUUUAGGUUUUAAGUGAGUAGUUGGGAGUGGGGCCCAUUGUAAGAUUAUUUAAGGGUUAUGAGAGAAUUAAAAAGAAAGAAAUCAGAAAAUUAGGAUUAGAGAAGCAGCAGAACAAAGAAACACGUGAAAGGUGAAGGAGAGGAGAAAAGGUGGAGAAAACCUAGAAUUUGAUCUUCAAGAAGAAAAGGGUCAAGGAGGCUUUGUACCGGUGUCAUAGAAGGUAUUGGAGGUAGAGAUGUGGCUCAUGAGGAGUAACUUCGGAGAGUCUUAGCUUAUGUUAUUAUUAUUAUUAUUAUAAUAAAAUAAGUGUCUUGCUCUGUAAUGUAACACUGGGUAGAUAUUUUACGUUACUUUUACAUUUAUGUUGAGAGGAUUAAUUAUAACCUCUCCUUAUGGAAGUUGUUGAAUAAUUUUCUAAAUUAUGGCGAUGUCGUACUGUUGAUGGCCGAUGUGCCUAUGAAAUUCAGUUUUGAGUAUGAUAAAUUUUAUUGGAAUAUCAUGGAAGAUAAACCUAUUUAAAUAA
Molecule: long non-coding RNA, 813 nt
Organism: Lotus japonicus
Lineage: Eukaryota; Viridiplantae; Streptophyta; Magnoliopsida; Fabales; Fabaceae
Exons: 2
Source: RefSeq, a predicted model, not a curated record